This 478-nucleotide ribosomal RNA is filed under the name Pithecia sp. UFPA Pit22. RNAcentral describes it as "partial large subunit ribosomal RNA". It matches the Rfam family "Bacterial large subunit ribosomal RNA", at positions 1914 to 2572 of the family's 2925-position model. The record is from RNAcentral. Lineage: Eukaryota; Metazoa; Chordata; Mammalia; Primates; Pitheciidae.
UGACACAUGUUCAACGGCCGCGGUACCCUGACCGUGCAAAGGUAGCAUAAUCAUUUGUUCUCUAAAUAGGGACUUGUAUGAAUGGCCACACGAGGGUUUAACUGUCUCUUACUUCCAAUCAGUGAAAUUGACCUAUCCGUGAAGAGGCGGAUAUGCUCAAAUAAGACGAGAAGACCCUAUGGAGCUUUAAUUUAAUAAUACAAAUUUCCACAUAUAAACCUACAGGUAAUAACCUAACACCCCUGUAUUAUAAAUUUUGGUUGGGGUGACCUCGGAGCACAGCAAAACCUCCGAAAAAUACUCACCAAGACCUCACCAGUCUAAGUAAACUUAUACUAUUGACCCAAUAACUUGAUCAACGGACCAAGUUACCCUAGGGAUAACAGCGCAAUCCUAUUUUAGAGUCCAUAUCGACAAUAGGGUUUACGACCUCGAUGUUGGAUCAAGACAUCCUAAUGGUGCAGCCGCUAUUAAGGGU